GACGAACGCUGGCGGCGUGCUUAACACAUGCAAGUCGAACGAUGAAGCUGGAGCUUGCUCCGGUGGAUUAGUGGCGAACGGGUGAGUAACACGUGAGCAAUCUGCCCUUCACUCUGGGAUAACUGCGGGAAACUGUAGCUAAUACCGGAUACGAGACCUUGGGGCAUCCCAGGGUCUGGAAAGAAUUUCGGUGAAGGAUGAGCUCGCGGCGUAUCAGCUAGUUGGUGAGGUAAUGGCUCACCAAGGCGACGACGGGUAGCCGGCCUGAGAGGGGGACCGGCCACACUGGGACUGAGGCACGGCCCAGACUCCUACGGGAGGCAGCAGUGGGGAAUAUUGCACAAUGGGCGAAAGCCGGAUGCAGCAACGCCGCGGGAGGGAUGAAGGCCUUCGGGUUGUAAACCUCUUUUAGUAGGGAAGAAGCGCAAGUGACGGUACCUACAGAAAAAGCACCGGCUAACUACGUGCCAGCCGCCGCAGUAA
Molecule: ribosomal RNA, 483 nt
Filed under: uncultured bacterium
Lineage: Bacteria
Description: partial 16S ribosomal RNA
Rfam family: Bacterial small subunit ribosomal RNA
Source: RNAcentral